Molecule: ribosomal RNA, 373 nt
Filed under: uncultured organism
Description: partial 16S ribosomal RNA
Rfam family: Bacterial small subunit ribosomal RNA
Source: RNAcentral
GUAGGUGGGCAAGCGUUGUCCGGAAUUAUUGGGCGUAAAGCGCGCGCAGGGCGGUCCUUUAAGUCUGAUGUGAAAGCCCACGGCUCAACCGUGGAGGGUCAUUGGAAACUGGGGGACUUGAGUACAGAAGAGGAAAGCGGAAUUCCAAGUGUAGCGGUGAAAUGCGUAGAGAUUUGGAGGAACACCAGUGGCGAAGGCGGCUUUCUGGUCUGUAACUGACGCUGAGGCGCGAAAGCGUGGGGAGCAAACAGGAUUAGAUACCCUGGUAGUCCACGCCGUAAACGAUGAGUGCUAAGUGUUAGGGGGUUUCCGCCCCUUAGUGCUGCAGCUAACGCAUUAAGCACUCCGCCUGGGGAGUACGGCCGCAAGGCUA